This 69-nucleotide transfer RNA is filed under the name Rattus norvegicus (Norway rat). It matches the Rfam family "tRNA". From Rfam's summary of the family: Transfer RNA (tRNA) molecules are approximately 80 nucleotides in length. The record is from Rfam by way of RNAcentral. Lineage: Eukaryota; Metazoa; Chordata; Mammalia; Rodentia; Muridae.
GGGGAUUUGGCUCAGUGGUAGAGCGCUUGCCUAGCAAGUACAAGGCCCUGGGUUCUAUCCCCAGCUCCG